GCUCUUCCUCAGCCACCCGCAGACCAAGACCUACUUCCCGCACUUCGACCUGCACCCGGGGUCCGCGCAGUUGCGCGCGCACGGCUCCAAGGUGGUGGCCGCCGUGGGCGACGCGGUGAAGAGCAUCGACAACAUCGGCGGCGCCCUGUCCAAGCUGAGCGAGCUGCACGCCUACAUCCUGCGCGUGGACCCGGUCAACUUCAAGGCUCUUCACAGUGUACCCCAGCACCAAGGUCUACUUCCCGCACCUGAGCGCCUGCCAGGACGCCACGCAGCUGCUGAGCCACGGGCAGCGCAUGCUGGCGGCGGUGGGCGCGGCGGUGCAGCACAUGGACAACCUGCGCGCCGCGCUGAGCCCGCUGGCGGACCUGCACGCGCUCGUGCUGCGCGUGGACCCAGCCAACUUUCCGCUGCUAAUCCAGUGUUUCCACGUCGUGCUGGCCUCCCACCUGCAGGACGAGUUCACCGUACAAAUGCAAGCGGCGUGGGACAAGUUCCUGACUGGUGUGGCCGUGGUGCUGACCGAAAAAUACCGCUGAGCCCUGUGCUGCGCAGGCCUUGGUCUGUGCCUGUCAAUAAACAGAGGCCCGAA
RNAcentral lists this small RNA (592 nucleotides) under Pongo abelii (Sumatran orangutan). RNAcentral describes it as "processed transcript". The record is from RNAcentral. Lineage: Eukaryota; Metazoa; Chordata; Mammalia; Primates; Hominidae.